UACGGAGGAUGCAAGCGUUAUCCGGAAUGAUUGGGCGUAAAGGGUCCGCAGGUGGCAGUGUAAGUCUGCUGUUAAAGAGUCUAGCUCAACUAGAUAAAAGCAGUGGAAACUACACAGCUAGAGUAUGGUCGGGGCAGAAGGAAUUCCUGGUGUAGCGGUGAAAUGCGUAGAUAUCAGGAAGAACACCGGUGGCGAAAGCGUUCUGCUAGGCCGAGACUGACACUGAGGGACGAAAGCUAGGGGAGCGAAUGGG
RNAcentral lists this ribosomal RNA (253 nucleotides) under uncultured bacterium. RNAcentral's name for it is "partial 16S ribosomal RNA". It matches the Rfam family "Bacterial small subunit ribosomal RNA", at positions 524 to 776 of the family's 1533-position model. The record is from RNAcentral.